This 4968-nucleotide long non-coding RNA is filed under the name Marmota monax (woodchuck). The record is from RNAcentral. Lineage: Eukaryota; Metazoa; Chordata; Mammalia; Rodentia; Sciuridae.
CCAGGCUUCAAGCUGCAGCAGGGGCUUCCUGGCAGGUUCUUCCAGGUCACUGAGGGUUGGGCCAAGACAGGGUCUGCACAGGGUGGCUGGUGGUUGAUGUCCAGAUGCCCAGAGGCUCUGGGAUGUUGGUUCUCUCCUAGCAUGGAUUUGUCCCAAGAAUUUUCUAGACUUGCCUGAUGGGCUUUGGCCAGCUCAAAGCUUCCUCCCCUCCCAAGCAGAUGGUGAACAGCAGAGAUGGCCUGUUAAACCAGGGUCAGCUGCUAAAGACCCCUGUUCUCCUCCCAUCCCAGGGCAGUGCCCCCUUCCUGAGAACAGACCUGGAGCCUGGGCCUCAGCCCUGACAUCCAGUCUGGGGUUAGCACGGAAGAGAUUGCAGGGGCUCCCCUUGACCCAAGCAGGAUGCAGGCCUUGUCCCUGCCUCUGCUCCCAUGUGGGCCACCCACUCUACUAGCAGCCCCAUGACCCCUGUCAGGUCCCUUCCUCCUGACCACCUUCCCAGACAUGGCUGCUAGGGAAUGGGGUUCACAUGGUUCAUAGCUCUCCCUUCUCCUGGGUAGGUUGAAGAAUGGGGUGGGGACAACAGAUUCCACCCUCCCUCCUGACUUGGUGCUUGCAGGUGGUGGCCGUGGUGAUGGACAUGUUCACUGAUGUGGACUUGCUCAGCGAAGUGCUGGAGGCUGCUGCACGCAGGGUCCCCGUCUAUAUCCUGCUGGAUGACAUGAAUGCACAACACUUUCUGGACAUGGCGGAAAAAUGCCGAGUCAACCUGCACCACGUGGAUGUGAGUGAGUGGACAGGUGGGGUGGACCGGGAAAGACCCUGGCGAAGACCUGACUCCCCUCCCUCCUCAGUUCCUGCGUGUGCGCACUGUGGCUGGCCCCACCUAUUAUUGCCGCACUGGGAAGUCUUUCAAGGGCCACGUGAAAGAGAAGUUCCUGCUUGUAGACUGUGCCGUGGUGAUGAGCGGGAGCUACAGGUGUGCGGUGUGCCCAGCUGGGUGUCGGUCCCUACCCCUCCCCUCUCUGGAGCCUCCCUGGGUGUCCCCGCCCCUCCUCACCAGGAGCACUCCUGUAGACCCUGAUAGCCUGGCCUGGCCCAGGUCCUAACACACCCUGGGACUCUGUGUGUCCCACCCAGCGCUGCAGGCCAGUGCUCCCUCACUCCGUUCUUGACUCUGACCCCCACCCACUCACCCACAGCUUCAUGUGGUCCUUCGAGAAGAUCCACCGCAGCCUGGCACACGUGUUCCAGGGAGAGCUGGUCUCCAGCUUCGACGAAGAGUUCCGCAUCCUCUUCGCACAGUCUGAGCCCUUGGUGCCCUCAGCUGGGGCGCUGGCCCGCGUGGACACUUAUGCCUUGGCUCCAUACUCCGGGGCGGGGCCCCUGGUGGGCAUCCCUGGGGCGCCCACCCCUUUCUCCUUCCCUAAACGGGCACACCUGCUGUUCCCUCCGCCCCGCGAAGAAGGCCUGGGUUUCCCCUCCUUCCUGGACCCAGAUCGCCACUUCCUUUCGGCCUUCCGCAGGGAGGAGCUGCCCCGGGUGCCCGGGGGCGCUCUGGAGCCGCAUGCAGGGAUGCGGCCACUGUCGCGACGGCUGGACACGGAAGUAGGGCCCAGCGGGGAGUUCGGGGGCCCACGGGGCUUCCUCCAGGCGCGGCACCUGGAGAUGGACGCCUUCAAGCGGCACAGCUACGCCGCGGCCGACGGCGCAGGCGCUGUGGAGAACUUCGCGGCUGCGCGGCAGGUGUCCCGACAGACGUUCCUCAGCCACGGGGACGACUUCCGCUUCCAGACCAGCCACUUCCACCGGGACCAACUCUACCAGCAGCAUUACCAGUGGGAGCCACAGUUCGCACCCACACGUCCGCAGGGCCUGUUCGAGAAGCUUCGCGCCGGCCGCCCGGGCUUGGCUGACCCCGACGACUUGGCGCUGGGCGCUGGGCCGCGCUUCCCCGAGCUUGGCCCGGAGGUGCACCAGCGGCUGGAGUACGUGCCCUCCAGCGCCUCGCGCGAGGUGCGCCACGGCUCGGACCCUGCCUUCAAGCCUGGUCCUGGUGGCCUGGAACCCGGCGGGGCCCUGCGCCCCAACCUGGGCCAGCGUUUCCCAUGCCAGGCGGUGGCGAGGCAAGGCCCAGACGCUGCUCCAGAGGCAGAGCCCGAGCGCAGGCCCGGGCCAGAGGGGCGAGCGGGGCUGCGGCACUGGCGCCUCGCCUCUUACCUCAGCGGGUGCCACGAGGAUGUGGGUGAGGAGGGCCUGCCCACACCCAUGGACGCUGACGUCUACGAAGAUGACGUGCUGGCUCCUGGGGGCCGGGCGGCCUUCCGUGUCCCUGCUACCUUGCCAGUCAAGGGCCUGUUGCCAGGCCCGGGAAGCGGUGGCGGCGACAGCUCGGAGCGCGAGGGCUCGGAGGAGGCAGGCCUGGUCAGGCAGGACUCGUUCCGCUCACGCCUAAACCCACUCAUCCAGCGCAGCUCCAGGCUACGCUCCUCACUUAUCUUCGCGCAGGCUGAAGGCUCUGGAGGUGCCACAACUGCCACCACUGAGAAGGUGCAGUUGCUGCACAAGGAACAAACGGUCAACGAGACGUUGGGUCCCAGUGGAGAGGCCAUGCGCUCCACCGCCUCUGCUAAAGUGGCCGAGCUGCUGGAGAAAUACAAGGGUCCAGCCCGUGACCCAAGCGCGGGGGGAGGUGCGGUCACUGUCUCCAGCCACAGCAAGGCUGUCGUGUCCCAAGCUUGGCGGGAAGAGGUGACCGCACCCGGCGCAGCAGGGGGCGAGCACCGCAGCCUGGAGAGCUGCUUGCUUGACUUGCGUGAUUCCUUUGCCCAAAGGCUACACCAGGAGGCGGAGCGGCAGCCGGGAGCCGCCUCCCUCACGGCUGCUCAACUUCUUGACACGCUGGGCCGCAGUGGCACUGACCGCCUGCCCUCCCGCUUCCUCUCUGCCCAGGGCCGCUCCACCUCCCCGCAGGGGCGGGACAGCCCCCCGCCAGAAGUGCCUGCUGCACACCAGGUGCCCCUUUCUGAGCCCAAAGGGAGCCCCACCUCAGCCUACCCAGAGCGGAAGGGGAGCCCCACGCCAGGGUUAUCCAAUCGGAGAGGCAGCCCAACUACAGGAUUUAUUGAACAGAAGGGCAGCCCCACCUCGACCUACCCAGAACGCAGAGGUAGCCCGGUACCCCCUGUGCCUGAGCGCAGGGGCAGCCCGGUACCCCCUGUGCCUGAGCGCAGGGGCAGUCUCACCCUCGCCUCAUCCAGUGAGUCUCCUAAGGUGGGGCCCACAGAGGAGGUGGCUGGAGGCCCCAUGGAAGUCCUGCGCAAAGGCUCCCUCCGCCUCAGGCAGCUGCUGAGCCCCAAGAAUGAGCGUCGCGGGGAGGAUGAGGGCAACUUCCCAGUGCCACAGGAGAAUGGGCAGCCAGAGAGUCCCCGGCGACCAUCUUUGGGCCGAGGUGAUAGUACAGAGGCUACUGCAGGGGAUGAGCGGGGCCCAAGGGCACGGCUAUCCUCUGCCACGGCCAAUGCCUUAUACAGCAGCAACCUACGAGAUGACACUAAGGCCAUCCUGGAGCAGAUCAGCGCCCAUGGUCAGAAGCAUCGUGGGGUUCCAGGCCCAGGCCCAGCCCACAGCAGCCCCGAGCUGGGCCACUCACCAGCUCCUGGAGGCCUGGCCCCAGACAUGUCCGACAAGGACAAAUGUUCAGCCAUCUUCCGGUCAGACAGUCUGGGUACGCAAGGCCGGCUGAGCCGCACCCUACCUGCCAGCGCAGAGGACCGCGACCGCCUACUGCGCCGCAUGGAAAGCAUGCGCAAGGAGAAGCGCGUCUACAGCCGCUUUGAGGUCUUCUGUAAAAAGGAAGAGGCUGGUGGUUCUGGGGCAGGGGAUGGCCUGGCGGAGGAGGAUGCCAGGGACAGCAAGGUGGGCAAGUUCGUGCCCAAGAUCCUGGGUACACUCAAGGGCAAGAAGUGAGUGUCCUGGUCCACCAGCCCAGGCCAAGGUGCUUCCUCACUGCCACCCUGCAUCUGCUGGGCAGGGAGCUCCGUGUCCCCGUGUUUGAGUGGCAGCCACCAUCCCUCAUUCCAGAGCAGCCAAGGGGCCGGACUGGACCCACCAGAGCUCAGCUUCAGUGGGUUUCCCUGGCAGCUGCCCUGCCCUGGCCCUGGCCUGUCCUCCCAGGGUUUCAGUCCGCGGCCUGGUACCUUUUCUCACCAACCCUUGCUCCUCUGCCCCCUUCUCUCCUGCUGCUUCCAUUUCCCUGGGCUCAGAUCCCCUCUGGACCUUCACUCACCUCAGGGACCCUUCUCUCUGUGCCUCAGUCCUGCUUGCAGGGACCCAACACUUGUGCCUCAGUCUCCCCAGCUCUAGGGGUCUUUUGUCUCCUCAGGGAUUCCGUUUUCAGGGCUCUCUUCUCAGACCUGUGGUUCUGCUGCCAGCCGCUCCACCCUGCCUCCUCGCCCCUGUCCUUCACUGGCUCCCUCUCUCCUCCUGGUGCCGGUCCUCUUGUGGGGAAGGAAGGAAGAGUGUGGUUGGACCCAAAGGAAGCUUUUCUUGGGAGGCACAGGGCAGGCCUCUGAGAAGGAGGGAUGAAGGGGACCCCAGAGGGGCUGCCCUGCUGCCCAGACUGCAGCUGCCUCAGCCAAGUCUGCCCCUCGCACAGUCAAGUCCUGGGUGGCCAGGGGGAGACACCAGGAGGCGAGUCCUGGGCUCUGCAGCAUAAUAAAAUGGAGUCUGGACUGACACCCUGAAGCCAAGUCUGAUUAAGUGGCUCCCAGACAAGUGCCACACCCCAGAAGGGUGGGAUGUGGCACACUUGUCCCUGAGCUCUGGCCACCUUCCCCAGGGCAGAGGUCCUGGGAAUCCCUGCAGGUGGGGUGACCCUUGCCCUGCAGGUGCCCAGAAGACCCUAGCUCCACCUUGCCCUUGAUCCUUUCCUGUUUCAUCACCAACAUGCAAAAUCUGUCAAAGACACUC